CAUCGACAUCUUGAACGCAUAUGGCGGCCUCGGGUCCAUCCCGAGGCCACGCCCGUCUGAGGGUCGGCU
This 69-nucleotide ribosomal RNA is filed under the name Bostryx primigenius. RNAcentral's name for it is "partial 5.8S ribosomal RNA". It matches the Rfam family "5.8S ribosomal RNA", at positions 90 to 154 of the family's 154-position model. Rfam says of the family: 5.8S ribosomal RNA (5.8S rRNA) is a component of the large subunit of the eukaryotic ribosome. It is transcribed by RNA polymerase I as part of the 45S precursor that also contains 18S and 28S rRNA. The record is from RNAcentral. Lineage: Eukaryota; Metazoa; Mollusca; Gastropoda; Stylommatophora; Orthalicidae.